Non-coding RNA from Camellia sinensis, 665 nucleotides. The record is from RefSeq and is a predicted model, not a curated record. NCBI's taxonomy places the organism in Eukaryota, Viridiplantae, Streptophyta, Magnoliopsida, Ericales, Theaceae.
ACCUGUUCAAAGUUUCGAAAUCUGUUCUGAAAACAGGUACGCUCGAGCGGGAAUUCCUCCGCUCGAGCGGGAAUUACGGGACAGCAGCUUAAAAUGAGAUUUUUUGGAUCAUUUCUCACAUUUUCCUUUUCCCCUCUUCAUCCCUCUCCCCUAGGUCCGAAAACCCUAGGUCCUUAAUCUCCAAAACCUUCAAUUUCUCUUAGUUUUGAUCAAGAUCGUCCAUCAAAAAGUGAAGAAGCAUGAAGAUUAUUAUGUUCUACCGGUUGGAAUUUCGAGAUUUUGGAGGAUUCUUCUCAAUCCUUGCUCCUUUGUUUGAUUCUUGAGGAUUAGCUACAAGGACGGACUACGCACCUGAACACUGCACUCAACCUGGAGAUUUAACCUGCACCUGUGGCUUUUGUUACCCAGUUGUCAAACCCUGAGUAUCAAAGCUAUUAGAUGUUGAUUGUUCAAGUUAUGGAGUUUUGCUAAGUUUUAAUUUGUACCCUAAUUGUCUGUUAAGAUCGGCGUAUAUGUAUAUGUACAUAGCUAUCUUCAGGUGCACGUCACUGUAUAUUUAACUGCAUUAUGUUCUGUUUGUGAUCCUGGCAUGGUAGUGGUAGCUCAAUGGAUAUAUUGUUAUAAUUAUUAUUAUUUUUGUUUGCUAUUAUAUACUAUUAAAUGCU